GGGGUAUCUCACGUAUACUCCCUCCUACAAUCACAAACCCCAGGGGCGACGCCAAUAUUUAUGGGGAAAUGGGAGGAGUCUUUGAACCAAACAUUUAGCACCACAGAGUGGGAAAAGAUCUGCAACAUCACACACCAUUGCUCGGUUUUCAGCAAGAGUCAGGAGACAGCCUACAAAUUACUUGCACAAUGGUAUCGCACGCCUGACACGAUACACCACAUACACACAGGUGGGUCCCGUCUCUGCUGGAGAUGUGACAAGGCGCUAGGCACACCCCUACACAUAUGGUGGGAAUGCGAGCAAAUACAAACCUUCUGGCGCACUAUUCACAAAAUACUAUCUCGAUUCUCGGACAACCCACCAGCACUAGAACCAGCAGCCAUUCUACU
This is a non-coding RNA of Pelobates cultripes (western spadefoot toad), 389 nucleotides long. Lineage: Eukaryota; Metazoa; Chordata; Amphibia; Anura; Pelobatidae. The record is from the annotation of a GenBank genome assembly.